UGGUGGAGUGAUUUGUCUGGUUAAUUCCGUUAACGAACGAGACCUCAGCCUGCUAAUUAGUUUCGCAUUAUCGCCUGAUAGUACAAACUUCUUAGAGGGACUAUCGGAUUUUCAGCCGAUGGAAGUAUGAGGCAAUAACA
Molecule: ribosomal RNA, 140 nt
Filed under: uncultured eukaryote
Lineage: Eukaryota
Description: partial 18S ribosomal RNA
Rfam family: Eukaryotic small subunit ribosomal RNA
Source: RNAcentral